RNAcentral lists this ribosomal RNA (482 nucleotides) under uncultured bacterium. Its description in RNAcentral is "partial 16S ribosomal RNA". It matches the Rfam family "Bacterial small subunit ribosomal RNA", at positions 28 to 523 of the family's 1533-position model. The record is from RNAcentral.
GACGAACGCUGGCGGCGUGCUUAACACAUGCAAGUCGAACGAUGAAGAAGAGCUUGCUCUUCGGAUUAGUGGCGAACGGGUGAGUAACACGUGACUAACCUGCCCCUUUCUCUGGGAUAACGCUCCGAAUGGAGUGCUAAUACCGGAUACUCACAUCGAGGCACAUGCCUUGAUGUGGAAAGUUUUUCGGAAAGGGAUGGAGUCGCGGCCUAUCAGCUUGUUGGUGAGGUAACGGCUCACCAAGGCGACGACGGGUAGCCGGCCGGAGAGGGCGACCGGCCACACUGGGACUGAGAAACGGCCGAGACUACUACGGGAGGCAGCACUGGGGAAUAUUGCACAAUGGGCGAAAGCCUGAUGCAGCGACGCCGCGUGAGGGAUGAAGGUCUUCGGAUUGUAAACCUCUUUCAGUAGGGACGAAGCGAAAGUGACGGUACCUAAAGAAGAAGCACCGGCUAACUACGUGCCAGCCGCCGCCGUAA